RNAcentral lists this ribosomal RNA (253 nucleotides) under uncultured bacterium. Its description in RNAcentral is "partial 16S ribosomal RNA". It matches the Rfam family "Bacterial small subunit ribosomal RNA", at positions 524 to 776 of the family's 1533-position model. The record is from RNAcentral.
UACAGAGGUGGCAAGCGUUGUUCGGAAUUACUGGGCGUAAAGGGCGCGUAGGCGGUUCGAUAAGUCCCGUGUGAAAUCCCUCGGCUCAACUGAGGAACUGCACGGGAAACUGACGGGCUUGAGUUCGGGAGAGGGAAGCGGAAUUCCGGGUGUAGCGGUGAAAUGCGCAGAUAUCAGGAGGAACACCAAUGGCGAAAGCAGCUCGCUGGGACGUGACUGACGCUGAGACGCGAAAGCGUGGGGAGCAAACAGG